Molecule: ribosomal RNA, 563 nt
Filed under: Candida tropicalis
Lineage: Eukaryota; Fungi; Ascomycota; Pichiomycetes; Serinales; Debaryomycetaceae
Description: partial large subunit ribosomal RNA
Rfam family: Eukaryotic large subunit ribosomal RNA
Source: RNAcentral
GCCUUAGUAGCGGCGAGUGAAGCGGCAAAAGCUCAAAUUUGAAAUCUGGCUCUUUCAGAGUCCGAGUUGUAAUUUGAAGAAGGUAUCUUUGGGUCUGGCUCUUGUCUAUGUUUCUUGGAACAGAACGUCACAGAGGGUGAGAAUCCCGUGCGAUGAGAUGAUCCAGGCCUAUGUAAAGUUCCUUCGAAGAGUCGAGUUGUUUGGGAAUGCAGCUCUAAGUGGGUGGUAAAUUCCAUCUAAAGCUAAAUAUUGGCGAGAGACCGAUAGCGAACAAGUACAGUGAUGGAAAGAUGAAAAGAACUUUGAAAAGAGAGUGAAAAAGUACGUGAAAUUGUUGAAAGGGAAGGGCUUGAGAUCAGACUUGGUAUUUUGUAUGUUACUUCUUCGGGGGUGGCCUCUACAGUUUAUCGGGCCAGCAUCAGUUUGGGCGGUAGGAGAAUUGCGUUGGAAUGUGGCACGGCUUCGGUUGUGUGUUAUAGCCUUCGUCGAUACUGCCAGCCUAGACUGAGGACUGCGGUUUAUACCUAGGAUGUUGGCAUAAUGAUCUUAAGUCGCCCGUCUUG